CAGCAGCCACGGGAAUACGAAGGGGGCUAGCGUUGUUCGGAUUAACUGGGCGUAAAGGGCGCGUAGGCGGGUUUUUAAGUCAGAGGUGAAAUCCCAAGGCUCAACCUUGGAACUGCCUUUGAUACUGGAAGUCUUGAGUCCGGGAGAGGUGAGUGGAACUGCGAGUGUAGAGGUGAAAUUCGUAGAUAUUCGCAAGAACACCAGUGGCGAAGGCGGCUCACUGGCCCGGUACUGACGCUGAGGCGCGAAAGCGUGGGGAGCAAACAGGAUUAGAUACCCCCGUAGUCCCUGUCUCUUAUAA
Molecule: ribosomal RNA, 301 nt
Filed under: uncultured bacterium
Lineage: Bacteria
Description: partial 16S ribosomal RNA
Rfam family: Bacterial small subunit ribosomal RNA
Source: RNAcentral